Molecule: long non-coding RNA, 273 nt
Filed under: Carica papaya (papaya)
Lineage: Eukaryota; Viridiplantae; Streptophyta; Magnoliopsida; Brassicales; Caricaceae
Description: long non-coding RNA (CPAP_LNC010268)
Source: RNAcentral
AAAAGGAUGGCGAAUGAGCCAAAAACUGCGAACAAAGUCUGAUGGAGCCGCCGUGGCCAAAACCCUAAAACCCCUCCAAUGAGGCCCUUUCCGUUUUUCAUUUCACACAAUUCUUUAACCAUUGUGUUUACCGUCCUUUUCUGUGCAAGUUAGCCGAAGGAGAAAUCCCAACCGCGAAGGAGAACCGGCAGAGUCACCGCACCCAGAGACCCUUCCCACUAGUAAGUUUGAAUUUUUAAUUUUUCUACACAACCGAGACUUCCUAACGUGUUU